Long non-coding RNA from Anguilla anguilla (European eel), 264 nucleotides. RefSeq lists it as uncharacterized. NCBI's taxonomy places the organism in Eukaryota, Metazoa, Chordata, Actinopteri, Anguilliformes, Anguillidae. The record is from RefSeq and is a predicted model, not a curated record. The transcript has 2 exons.
CCAGCAAGCUCUUGAUGGAAAACCCAAAACAUCUGUAUUUUUAUAUCAAGGUUGGAGGCCCAGACUUAUAUUGGUGUUGACGAAGUAGCCAUCAACACAAGAGGAAGAUACAGAGUUGCGCUUUCAGGGCCAGUGAAAAUGACUCGAUCGCCUGACAUACACCAGUCUGUGUCACCCCUGAGCCUACCCAGCAACUCCUCGUGCAUCCACCCCUAAAAUGCACUUGUUUUAUAUGCUGAAAUAAAUAACACAAUGUGAAACUUC